GGACUGCUGGCGGAAAAUGAGAAAAUUCGACCUAUCCUUGCGCAGCUCGAGAAGCUCUUACUUUGCGACCUUUCGCCAUCAACUAACGAUUCUGUCAAAAACUGACGCGUUGGAUGAGGAGAAGUGGCUUAAUAUGCUUGGCACGUUCGUCAAGGACUGGUUAGAUCGGAAGAGCGGUUCAGCAGGAAUGC
Molecule: ribosomal RNA, 191 nt
Filed under: uncultured prokaryote
Description: partial 16S ribosomal RNA
Source: RNAcentral